UUAUAACCGACAGUAAUUUUUAAUCCUUUUUUUAAAAAUAUUUUUGACAGCUUAUGGCUGUUUUUAAGUUAAUUGUGGUGGUUAUAACAUACAUAAAUUGACUAUUUUAUUAUUUUACUUUAUGGCCUUAUUAUUUUAGUAUUAUGGCAGUUAUAACUGACAGAAAUAAAAAUUUUAUUAUUUUAAAAUGUUACAUUGAUUAAAAAUAAUAAAUAAACACAUUUUUUAAAUAUUUUUUUUUCACGCAUGACUCUAAAGUCUAAUGAACCCAAUUCCCAUGAGCCAUAAAUUUUCUGAGAGAAUAAUAACAACAUACUACAAUAUGAGGCUCUUUCAUUUUUGUAAUAAGGAUUAUGCUCCCUCAUAGGCAAGCAACAAGAUACAAAGAAAUUCAAACAAUUUUUUUCAAAGCGUCACAAAGCACAUUGUUUGGCAUAUAAACAUACAUGAACAUCUGGUGUACUCUAUCAUGUCUGAUUUUAUUAUUUUAAAAUGUUAUGUUGAUUAAAAAUAAAUAAAUAAACACAUGUUUUAAAUAUUGUUUUUUUCACUCAUUGCCCUAUCGGAUAUAACCGACACGAACAAAGCAAAAUUUUGGACUCUUCUCUGAAUGUUUUGUUUUUUUUUUUUUUUUUGCGAUUUUUUACACAUGCUAUCUCGGAGUAUAUACAAACCUAUUUGACGGUUGGAUCGUUGAAACUAGUUUCGUAGAAUGCAUAUCCUGCCAAAUUGAUAGAUUUAACAAACAUGUAAGAGUUAAUGUUAUAAGUAUAAGAUAAGAUUUAUCUACUAGUGUAAAUAUUUUAAAUUGAAGAUCGAAUUCAUUCAUUGCAUUCUUAUAGGGUCAAGGAGUGUAGCUGUAAAAAAUCAUCAAAAUCGGAGCUAAAAUAACCGUUAAAUUGUGAUUUUUCGUUUAUAACCAUUGAAAACUUUUGUUCCGUUACCUAAUAUCUGAAUGUUUGUUUUUUGCGAUUUUUUACGUAUGUGAUCUUGGAGUGUGUACAAACAAGUUUUACGAUUGGAUCGUUGAAAAACAUUUCGUAGCAUGCGUAUCACAUCAAAAUGGUAGAUUAAACAAACACUUAGAGUUAAUGUUAUACUUCCCCAUCAAGUAUAAAAUAAGUUUUUGUGGUAUUCACUAGUUUAAAUAUUUUAAAUUAAAGAUCAAAUUUAUUCAUUACAUUCUUAUAGGGUCGAGGAGUGUAGCUGUAAAAAAUUAUCAAAAUCGGAGCUAAAAUAGCUAUUAAAUUGUGAUUUUUUGUUUCUAACCGUCGAAAACUUAUGUUCCGUUACGUAAUCUUUGAAUGCUUUUUUUUUACAAUUUUUUACGUAUGUAAUCUUGGAGUGUGUACAAAUAAGUUUGACGGUUGGAUCGUUGAAAAAAGUUUCGUAGAAUGCAUAUUGUGUCAAAACGGUAGGUUAAACAAACACUUAGAGUUAAUAUUAUACUUCUAUUAAGUAUAACUAGUGUAAAUAUUUUAAAUUAAAGAUCAAAUUUAUUCAUUACAUUCUUAUAGGGUCGAGGAGUGUAGCUGUAAAAAAUCAUCAAAAUCGGAGCUAAAAUAACCGUUAAAUUGUGAUUUUUCGUUUAUAACCGUCGAAAACUUUUGUUCCGUUACGUAUUGAAUGUUUGUUUUUUACAAUUUUUUACGUAUGUAAUAUCGGAGUGUGUACAAAUAAGUUGACGGUUGGAUCGUUGAAAAAAGUUUUGUAGAAUGCAUAUUGCGUCAAAACGGUAGUGGAUCGUUAAAACAAAUUGGUACAUUUUACAAAAAAAUUGGUACAUUUCACAUAUAACAAAGUGAUACAUUAAUAAAGAAGAAUGGGUACAUUAUAAAUAAAUUAGGGUACAUAUAAAAGAUUAAAAAUUAUAAGUACAAAUGAAUUUUUAAAAAUAUAGGCGCUAAAAGAAAUUAAUACAUGGGUACAAAAUAACUAAGAAGAAAAUACUACAAAUUAAAAAAAAAUGUUGCAAAUUAAAAGUGGGUACAAACUAAAAAUAUAAAUAUAUGAUACAAGUUUAGGCAUAAAACAUAAAUAUACCAUAUAUAAUUUUUCUAUCAUUGAUUAAAUAUACAAUGUCACGUUACAGUAUACAUAUAGGUACAAAAAUAUGGGCACAAAAAGAAACUAAUAUAUGGUUACAAAUUAAAAAUGAAAAGAAAAUUCAUACAAAUUAAAAAAUA
RNAcentral lists this long non-coding RNA (2186 nucleotides) under Malus domestica (apple). RNAcentral describes it as "long non-coding RNA (MDOM_LNC002620)". The record is from RNAcentral. Lineage: Eukaryota; Viridiplantae; Streptophyta; Magnoliopsida; Rosales; Rosaceae.